Molecule: ribosomal RNA, 2003 nt
Filed under: Clostridioides difficile
Lineage: Bacteria; Bacillati; Bacillota; Clostridia; Peptostreptococcales; Peptostreptococcaceae
Description: partial 23S ribosomal RNA
Rfam family: Bacterial large subunit ribosomal RNA
Source: RNAcentral
UUUAACUGAGCGUUCAGUUACUUGACGUAGACCCGAAACCGGGCGACCUACCCAUGAGCAGGAUGAAGCGAAAGUAAAAUUUCGUGGAGGUCCGAACCCACGAGCGUUGAAAAGCUCGGGGAUGACUUGUGGGUAGCGGUGAAAUUCCAAUCGAGCCCGGAGAUAGCUGGUUCUCCCCGAAAUAGCUUUAGGGCUAGCCUCAAGGUGAGAGAUACGGAGGUAGAGCACUGAAUGUCCUAGGGGGUAUUGCACCUACCGAAGACUAUCAAACUCCGAAUGCCGUCAUCUUAUACUUGGGAGUCAGACUGUGGGUGAUAAGAUUCAUAGUCGAAAGGGCAACAGCCCAGAUCGUCAGCUAAGGUCCCUAAAUGUAAGUUAAGUGGUAAAGGAUGUGGGAUUGCACAGACAACCAGGAUGUUGGCUUAGAAGCAGCCACUCAUUCAAAGAGUGCGUAAUAGCUCACUGGUCGAGUGAUCCUGCGCCGAAGAUUUCCGGGGCUAAAACUUACUACCGAAGCUACGGCAUCAGUAAUGAUGGGUAGGGGAGCUUCCCAUACGGGUUGAAGCAUGACCGUAAGGACAUGUGGACAGUAUGGGAGUGAGAAUGUUGGCAUGAGUAGCGAGAUGUGGGUGAGAAUCCCACAGGCCGUAAACCCAAGGUUUCCAGGGGAAGGUUCGUCCGCCCUGGGUUAGUCGGGACCUAAGCUGAGGCCGAAAGGCGUAGGUGAUGGACAACAGGUUGAUAUUCCUGUACUACCGAUAACCGUUUGAGAGAAGGGAUGACACAGUAGGAUAAGCUAAGCACACUGUUGGUUAUGUGUGCCCAAGCAUUGAGGCAGUCAAAGUAGGCAAAUCCGCUUUGAUAAUGCUGGGAUGUGAUGGGGAGCGAAAUUUAGUAGCGAAGUAGCUGAUUUCACACUGUCAAGAAAAGUCUCUAUCGAGGUUAAAGGUACCCGUACCGCAAACCGACACAGGUGGGUGAGGAGAGUAUCCUAAGGCCAGCGAGAGAACUGUUGUUAAGGAACUCGGCAAAAUGACCCCGUAACUUAGGGAUAAGGGGUGCCACCAUUAGGUGGCCGCAGAGAAUAGGCCCAAGCGACUGUUUACCAAAAACAUAGGUUUCUGCUAAGUCGCAAGACGAUGUAUAGGAGCUGACGCCUGCCCGGUGCUGGAAGGUUAAGGGGAUCUGUUAGAGUAAUCGAAGCAGUGAACUUAAGCCCCAGUAAACGGCGGCCGUAACUAUAACGGUCCUAAGGUAGCGAAAUUCCUUGUCGGGUAAGUUCCGACCCGCACGAAAGGCGUAACGAUUUGGGCACUGUCUCAACAACAGACUCGGUGAAAUUGUAAUUCCGGUGAAGAUGCCGGAUACCUGCGACAGGACGGAAAGACCCCAUGGAGCUUUACUGUAGCUUGACAUUGGGUCUUGGUACUACAUGUACAGGAUAGGUGGGAGGCUUUGAAACCAGGACGCCAGUUUUGGCGGAGCCAUCCUUGGGAUACCACCCUUGUAGUACUGGGACUCUAACCAUAGGCCAUGAAUCUGGUCUUGGGACACUGUCAGGUGGGCAGUUUGACUGGGGCGGUCGCCUCCCAAAAGGUAACGGAGGCGCUCAAAGGUUCUCUCAGUACGGUCGGAAAUCGUACGUAGAGUGUAAAGGCAAAAGAGAGCUUGAUUGCAAGACAUACAGGUCGAGCAAGGAUGAAAAUCGGACUUAGUGAUCCGGUGGUUCUGCGUGGAAGGGCCAUCGCUCAACGGAUAAAAGCUACCCUGGGGAUAACAGGCUUAUCUCCCCCAAGAGUCCACAUCGACGGGGAGGUUUGGCACCUCGAUGUCGGCUCAUCACAUCCUGGGGCUGUAGUAGGUCCCAAGGGUUGGGCUGUUCGCCCAUUAAAGUGGUACGCGAGCUGGGUUCAGAACGUCGUGAGACAGUUCGGUCCCUAUCCGUCGCAGGCGUAGGAAAUUUGAGAAGACCUGUCCUUAGUACGAGAGGACCGGGAUGGACG